Molecule: non-coding RNA, 25 nt
Filed under: Rattus norvegicus (Norway rat)
Lineage: Eukaryota; Metazoa; Chordata; Mammalia; Rodentia; Muridae
Source: RNAcentral
CAAAAGUGAUGAUGCAAUCCCAGGC